Molecule: ribosomal RNA, 405 nt
Filed under: uncultured bacterium
Lineage: Bacteria
Description: bacterial SSU rRNA
Rfam family: Bacterial small subunit ribosomal RNA
Source: RNAcentral
UGAGGAAUAUUGCGCAAUGAGCGAAAGCUAGACGCAGCAACGCCGCGUGGACGAUGAAGGCCUUCGGGUCGUAAAGUCCUUUUCAGGGGGACGAGAGAGGACGGUACCCCUGGAAUAAGUCACGGCUAACUACGUGCCAGCAGCCGCGGUAAAACGUAGGUGGCGAGCGUUAUCCGGAUUCACUGGGCGUAAAGCGCCUGCAGGCGGUCCUGUAAGUGGGACGUGAAAUCUCUUGGCUCAACUGAGAGAGGUCGUUCCAUACUGCGGGACUGGAGGGCAGAAGAGGGAAGCGGAAUUCCCGGUGUAGUGGUGAAAUGCGUAGAUAUCGGGAGGAACACCAGUGGCGAAGGCGGCUUCCUGGCCUGCUCCUGACGCUAAGAGGCGAAAGCUAGGGGAGCGAACGGG